GACGAACGCUGGCGGCAUGCCUAAUACAUGCAAGUUGAACGAUGAUAUUCUCUGCUUGCCGAGAAUUGAAGAGUAGCGAACGGGUGAGUAACACGUGGGGAACCUGCCCAUGAGAGGGGGAUAACAUUCGGAAACGGAUGCUAAUACCGCAUAAUGCUUUGGACCGCCUGGUCCAGAGACGAAAGACGGCUUUUGCUGUCACUCAUGGAUGGCCCCGCGCCGUAUUAGCUAGUUGGUGAGGUAAUGGCUCACCAAAGCUGUGAUACGUAGCCGACCUGAGAGGGUGAUCGGCCACACUGGGACUGAGACACGGCCCAGACUCCUACGGGAGGCAGCAGUAGGGAAUCUUCCACAAUGGGCGAAAGCCUGAUGGAGCAAUGCCGCGUGAAUGAAGAAGGUCUUCGGAUCGUAAAGUUCUGUUAUUAGAGAAGAACAAGUCAAGGAGUAACUGUCUUGACUUUGACGGUACCUAACCAGAAAGUCACGGCUAACUACGUG
RNAcentral lists this ribosomal RNA (498 nucleotides) under uncultured bacterium. RNAcentral's name for it is "partial 16S ribosomal RNA". It matches the Rfam family "Bacterial small subunit ribosomal RNA", at positions 28 to 507 of the family's 1533-position model. The record is from RNAcentral.